This 67-nucleotide transfer RNA is filed under the name Cerion uva. RNAcentral describes it as "tRNA-His". Lineage: Eukaryota; Metazoa; Mollusca; Gastropoda; Stylommatophora; Cerionidae. The record is from RNAcentral.
UUUAAGGUAAGUUAAAUAAAACUGUGGGUUUGUGGUACCCAAAUUCCAUACAUGAUAGGCCUUAGUA